Molecule: long non-coding RNA, 649 nt
Organism: Amphiprion ocellaris (clown anemonefish)
Lineage: Eukaryota; Metazoa; Chordata; Actinopteri; Pomacentridae
Source: Ensembl
UCUAGAACGAACUAUUCACAGCAUAAAACUUUUACGUCAGUUCUGUUUGUAGAAAAAGCUCUCAUAGCUUGAGUCAUCCAUCCAUUAUCUAUAGAUAUCACAGGGGGCGGAGCCUACCAGCUGACUAAAAGAGAAGGUGUGUGGCAGAGGCUGGCAGCAGGUGUGGCGGAUUCCAAUCGGCUGAUCACGUGCAGGUGGGAGUCGUCUAAUCAAGCAGACCGGCUUCCCUUUAAAACCUGAAGCGAGUCGUCUUUUGGUGCUGACCGUCUCCUAAUGAACAUACUGACUCCCACCUGCUGCUGUUGUUCUUGUCAUACCUGGCUGUUGGACUUACCACCUGGCUGAGGCUUCCUGGCUUCCACUGGACCUUUGGAUUCUCCAGGGUUUCUCUAAAUGCAGAGGAGAACUCUGGCUGCUGCCACGCCACCAAGGAUGCCAUUCUGUUGGGUUGGAAAUCCGCUGCCACAGUCUACUUACCUGAGACACCAAGAUUACCACUUGUUGGCCAUUGAUACACCUGGGACUCUGUCUUUCCCUCUAAAGACUGGUCAAAGCUGAUUUCCAGAUCCAUUACACCAGAGAGUCAGUCAAGUUCUCCCCCUAGCUUCACCAGAUAAUAGUUUAUCUGUUCAUGUUUAUUCUGCUAAGG